GAGAACUGUAGGAACACUCCAAGACUGUUGGGAGGGAUGCCCUUGAAACCCUCCAUUAUUGAUGUUAUUAUUAUGGUUAGAAUUAAGUAUGACUGGGUUCAUGGAAAAUCCCCAGUCAGCUGCAGAAGACUAAUACAAAUCUGGUGGUCAAGAUGAAUAAUAAUAUGAUACAUCAAGAUACCCAAUGUGAUGACCUGUAGUAACCUUCUGAAAAACCAACAUCCUGCUGACUAAUAGAUAUGACAAACCUAUGACCUUUCUGACAUCCUGUCAACAUCAGCCGAUUCCCUGACCACACGAAUACUGUGUCCUUGGCUUGCAUAAAUGUUUCAUACUUCCCUCCUCCUUCUGUUACCCCUGUUAUGGUAUAAAUUCAGCCUUGGGGAAAAAUAAAAUUGUCGCCUUGAUCAGACUCUUGUCUUGGUGUCCUUCUUCAUGUCUCUUGUUCCCCAUUCUCUUCCUCAGCACCCUCAUUGAUAAAUGGCGCCCAACAUGGGGCUGUUUGGAGGUCUCCUGGAGGAGAACAUUGUCCCCUGUGAAUAGGAAAGCUUGUCUUCCUUGUUUGUCGGAGCCUUUGCUCUCCCCUUGGAGCCUUUGCUCCCCCCUUGGAGCCUUUGUUCCCCUGCUUCUGGCAACCAUGGACUGCCGACCUUGGUUAGAGGCUUGGUGUGAAUUUCUCCCCUGAUGACGCAGAUCUCAGUGCGGUCACUUUGUCAAUCUGUGCUCUGUGGGUGGUGCUCCUGAGGUAGGGCCAUAUGGGGUCGUACAACAUUUUGGUGCACUUGCGAGGAACUGUGCUCCCCCCCCAGACCUCAACUGGCAAAGAGAUUGGAGAAGGAGUCCAUGGAGGCGCACGCGACUUCAUCUACAGCCUGCACUCACCCGAGAGGAGCUGCUUGCUCAAAGAAUUGCACCAUUGCCAUCGCAUAAGAAGAACUGGAAGCUCUGUCACCCACUCCAGGACAGCUGAGAUAUGUGUUCUUCCACAAUGAGAUACCUUUCUUAGGGUUUGGCUUUUUGUAUAAUGCAAUUACGAUAGUUGCAGGAACCCAAAUUUAAUUGUCUAUUGGAAUUAUUUUCUGAAUGUCAACAAUGGCAGUCAACAUGUUAUCUUUUCCCUCCAUGUUAUUUAAUUUUCAACAUAUUAUUUAAUUUUCAAUUAUUGAUAUUGUAUAGCACUGAGUUGGGGUUUGCUUUUUCUGAUAUAACAUGCAUGGGAUACCUAUUAAUGUCUUUUUUCCCCUGAUGGUUAUAAUUCAAUGCUGAGGUUUCUCCAAAUUAUUUAAGGUGUUUAAUAUCAGUGAAAAUUGUAAUUCCCUGCCUGGUGGCAUCCCUUCUGUGUGAUAUUUCAUGGUAAACAUUUACAAUCAUAUAAAUUCAUUCAAUUUUUAAACUUCCACAUCUAUCAAAUAUGGAGCAGAGUUUCAAGUAUAUCUGAAUAUUUUAAUUUUGAACCACACUGUCUUUAAGAGUCAGAGGUUAAUCAGAAAGAACAAUUGUCUGGCCCCUCUUUUACGUAAACCUACAUGCUAACAAGUGUAUUUAUUUCUGAUUGGCUUUCUAUCUUUAAUUUCUCAACUUUGAGUGAUCACACUGAAUUCUGGGUUGUGAGAGAAAGGCAGUGUUUGGAUACUUCCUGUGUCUUAGAAUAUGGUGAAAGAGAGCAUGAAAAAGGUCAGAAAAGGAUUAAAAAAGAGAAAACAAGAAAGAGAAAAGGCUGAGUACUGGUAUCAAAAUUGAUUCUCCACCUCUCCUUGGUUGUCCACCCUGCUUCCCUCUCUGUUGGGCCCCCUAGUAGUCCUUCUUUUGCUUAUAUCUUUUGGUAGUUGGACAUUUAAUCAUUUAACCGGCUUUAUUAAACAACAGGUAGAUAAUAUAGCAACAAAACCUAUUCAGGUAUAUUAUCAUAGGCUAGCUAUGGAGGAUGCUUUGAUGAUGGCCAAGCUCACCUACACAUCUCCUCCCAGCCCAGGCAAGGACAUUUUUGUCCUCUAGCCAAAUGAGGCCAACAUUCUUUUCUGCCUGCUGUCCUGAUGCCUUUGCUGAAAAAUCAAUGAAUUGUCACCCCUGCAUGCUGAGCUGGACAGUCAAUGACAGGUAAGAGAGUGAUAUAUUCACAAAUAAAAGGCCUAAGAGGGCCGCCAUUAGCUGCUGCCUUAUCCCAUGACGGACCCUGGUCACAAGAUUCUCUUGGCCAUGUGACAAAUAUCACUCCAACCUAAGACAGACACAGUUCCCAAGGGGCUCAUUCCAGGACAGUACAACCAUUUGGCUACCUUUUCAUUUGACUCUAAGGAAGGGGAAGAUGUUGGGAGCGAUGCCCUUGAAACCCUCCAUUAUUGAUGUUAUUAUUAUGGUUAGAAUUAAGUAUGACUGGGUUCAUGGAAAAUCCCCAGUCAGCUGCAGAAGACUAAUACAAAUCUGGUGGUCAAGAUGAAUAAUAAUAUGAUACAUCAAGAUACCCAAUGUGAUGACCCGUAACCUUUCUGAAAAACCAACAUCCUGCUGACUAAUAGAUAUGACAAACCUGUGACUUUCUGACAUCCUGUCAACAUCAGCCGAUUCCCUGACCACACGAAUACUGUGUCCUUGGCCUGCGUAAAUGUUUCAUACUUCCCCCCUCUUUCUGUUACCCCUGUUAUGGUAUAAAUUCAGCCUUGGGGAAAAAUAAAAUUGUCGCCUUGAUCAGAAUCUUGUCUUGGUGUCCUUCUUCAUGUCUCUUGUCCCCCAUUCUUUUCCAGGUACCCUCAGCACCCUCGUUGACACAAGACUUAAGUCUGGACAAUGAUUUUUUUUGAUACAACUAAAAAAAAAAUCUCAAGCAAUAAAAGGAAUUACUGCAAACUAUAGAUAUUCUACAAAGCCAAGGAAACAAUGAGCAAACAACCAAUGCAAUGGGGAAAAUGUAAAUUACACACUUGAAAGGGGAUCAUUAUUUGAAAUACAUCAGAAAUACAACUCAGUGUCAACCUAAUUAAACUUAUUCAGAGAAAACAAACAGAUGCUUCCCCAAAACGACCUAAAAAUGGCCAACACACUCACACAGAGACAUGUUUAAGAUCACUAACUAUCAAAGAAAAGCAGGUUCAAAAUAUAGUGAGAGUCUACCUUGUACCUACUCCUCCUAGAUGGCUCUUACAGAAAAGACGAGAGAGAAGUGUUGGCGACAGGUAGAAACUUGAAUUAGUGCAGCUACUAGAGACAAUGGCAAUCUCUAAAUGUAGAAA
Rattus norvegicus (Norway rat) is the source of this 3227-nucleotide non-coding RNA. NCBI's taxonomy places the organism in Eukaryota, Metazoa, Chordata, Mammalia, Rodentia, Muridae. The record is from RefSeq and is a predicted model, not a curated record.